GACCUUAAAUCCUACUGAAUAGCUCUUAACCUUCUUCCCUUUAAGCGAUUUCAAAUUAGCCUCCUCCAUUUUGAAAAUGGUGACAGGGGAAGUGUCACUCGUGAUGUCACGAGUUUGACCCGGCGGUAAUACUAAGCAUUCGUUAGUUAUUUUGCGAAGCGAGUUUGACGAGUAACUCAAGGCAAGUGCAUACUAUAUGCCCGGCAGCAAUUCAAGGAAAUACGGUGCAGGAGGAACGACGCAAGCUCUCCGCUCAUGUCUACGGGGGCGCGCGUGUGCUCUUCCAAUGGAUCCUUCUUUUUUUUUUUUGCCCCAAGAAGAAGCCAAACCGAAAGCGAGCCAUCAGGAUGGACGUUCAUUCAUUCAUUCAAACGUCAAAAUAAGUCGAGGGUGAAUAUUUACUGUUUCAUCUGUGUUUAUUUCCCCUGGCUCGACGGCGUGUUGCGUUCAACGUGCCGUUGACGUCAGCGACGGAUCGAUUUUAUUUUCAAAGAAAGCAAGGGCGGAAGCGCGCGUAAUGAUGGUGCGUUCAAGUACAGUAGGAAUUAUGCUUUGCACUUUGUUUAUUUUAUAUAUAUAUAUAUAUUCUAUUUUGUACUCAUUUUAAUUGUUGUUUGAUUGAUUGAUAUUGUUUGAUUGAUGUAUUUUUAUUUAAAAUAUGCAAAAAAAAAACUAGAGCAGGCAUGAUCCAAUACAGUGCUAUAGCGUUAACAGCCAUUAUAACAAAAUAAAAACAAUGGAGAAUUUAAAAAAAAACAUAAGCAAAUGAGCAUUGGACUUUCUCUUCUUUUUUUUUUUCUUACAUAUUUGAAAAGGAGUGAGAAGAAGUAUACACUUAUUCAAUCCCACCCCUUUUCUUUUAAUCAGAAAUUACUCUAAUCUAGAAAUACCUGUUGUUUCUCGUCGGUUUGUUUGUAAAUGUUAGAAUUUAUAAAUAAAAGUAAAAAAACAAACAUGUAGUUACAAUCAUCCAUCAUAUCUUGGAGAAUGCUUAAGAGUACAAAAGCCCUUAAAUUAGGGGUGUCCAAACUUUUUCCACAGAGGGAAAAUGUAAACAUGCGGGGGCCAUUUGGAUAUUUUUCAUUUUCAAACCAUAACAAAAUAUAUGGAUUUUUUUUUUUGAAUCCUAAGGGCUCCUGGGGAGCAUAG
Molecule: long non-coding RNA, 1149 nt
Organism: Nerophis ophidion (straightnose pipefish)
Lineage: Eukaryota; Metazoa; Chordata; Actinopteri; Syngnathiformes; Syngnathidae
Exons: 3
Source: RefSeq, a predicted model, not a curated record